RNAcentral lists this transfer RNA (64 nucleotides) under Paratapes textilis (textile venus clam). RNAcentral's name for it is "Paphia textile (textile venus clam) tRNA-Thr". The record is from RNAcentral. Lineage: Eukaryota; Metazoa; Mollusca; Bivalvia; Venerida; Veneridae.
GGAUUAAUAGUUAAUUAUUAUAAUAAGAGUUUUGUAAACUUUAGUAAGCGUGGUCUUUAGUCCU